This 468-nucleotide ribosomal RNA is filed under the name uncultured bacterium. Its description in RNAcentral is "partial 16S ribosomal RNA". It matches the Rfam family "Bacterial small subunit ribosomal RNA", at positions 28 to 507 of the family's 1533-position model. The record is from RNAcentral.
GACGAACGCUGGCGGCGUGCUUAACACAUGCAAGUCGAACGGAAAGGCCCUGCUUUUGUUGGGUGCUCGAGUGGCGAACGGGUGAGUAACACGUGAGUAACCUGCCCUUGACUUUGGGAUAACUUCAGGAAACUGGGGCUCUUACCGGAUAUGAGCUCCUGCUGCAUGUGGGUGGUUGGAAAGUUUCGGCGGUUGUGGAUGGACUCGCGGCUUAUCAGCUUGUUGGUGGGGUAGUUGCUUACCAAGGCUUUGACGGGUAGCCGGCCUGAGAGGGUGACCGGCCACAUGAGGACUGAGAUACGGCCCAGAAUCCUACGGGAGGCAGCAGGGGGAAACAUUGCACAGUAGGCGGAAGCCUGAUGCAGCAACGCCGCGUGCGGGAAGAAGGGCUUCGGGUUGUAAACAGAUUUCGCCUGUGACGAAGCGUGAGUGACGGUAACGUGUAAAGAAGCACCGGCUAACUACGUG